GACGAACGCUGGCGGCGUGCUUAACACAUGCAAGUCGAGCGGUAAGGCUCCUUCGGGAGUACACGAGCGGCGAACGGGUGAGUAACACGUGAGCAAUCUGCCCUUCACAUCGGGAUAACUCCGGGAAACCGGUGCUAAUACCGAAUACGACCACUUCAGGCAUCUGAUGGUGGUGGAAAGUUCCGGCGGUGAAGGAUGAGCUCGCGGCCUAUCAGCUUGUUGGUGGGGAACGGCCCACCAAGGCAACGACGGGUAGCCGGCCUGAGAGGGUGACCGGCCACACUGGGACUGAGACACGGCCCAGACUCCUACGGGAGGCAGCAGUGGGGAAUAUUGGACAAUGGGCGAAAGCCUGAUCCAGCAACGCCGCGUGAGGGAUGACGGCCUGGUGUAAC
This 395-nucleotide ribosomal RNA is filed under the name uncultured bacterium. RNAcentral describes it as "bacterial SSU rRNA". It matches the Rfam family "Bacterial small subunit ribosomal RNA", at positions 28 to 429 of the family's 1533-position model. The record is from RNAcentral.